RNAcentral lists this ribosomal RNA (495 nucleotides) under uncultured bacterium. RNAcentral's name for it is "partial 16S ribosomal RNA". It matches the Rfam family "Bacterial small subunit ribosomal RNA", at positions 28 to 507 of the family's 1533-position model. The record is from RNAcentral.
GACGAACGCUGGCGGCGUGCCUAAUACAUGCAAGUAGAACGCUGAAGGAGGAGCUUGCUUCUCUGGAUGAGUUGCGAACGGGUGAGUAACGCGUAGGUAACCUGCCUGGUAGCGGGGGAUAACUAUUGGAAACGAUAGCUAAUACCGCAUAAUAGUAGAUGUCGCAUGACAUUUGCUUAAAAGGUGCAAUUGCAUCACUACCAGAUGGACCUGCGUUGUAUUAGCUAGUUGGUGAGGUAACGGCUCACCAAGGCAACGAUACAUAGCCGACCUGAGAGGGUGAUCGGCCACACUGGGACUGAGACACGGCCCAGACUUCUACGGGAGGCAGCAGUAGGGAAUCUUCGGCAAUGGACGGAAGUCUGACCGAGCAACGCCGCGGGAGUGAAGAAGGGUUUCGGAUCGUAAAGCUCUGUUGUAAGAGAAGAACGAGUGUGAGAGUGGAAAGUUCACACUGUGACGGUAGCUUACCAGAAAGGGACGGCUAACUACGUG